This 631-nucleotide ribosomal RNA is filed under the name uncultured bacterium. RNAcentral describes it as "bacterial SSU rRNA". The stretch from base 1 to 549 matches the Rfam family "Bacterial small subunit ribosomal RNA", at positions 338 to 873 of the family's 1533-position model. The record is from RNAcentral.
CCUACGGGAGGCAGCAGUGGGGAAUUUUGGACAAUGGGGGAAACCCUGAUCCAGCAAUGCCGCGUGUGUGAAGAAGGCCUUCGGGUUGUAAAGCACUUUUGUCCGGAAAGAAAACUUCUGCCCUAAUACGGUGGGAGGAUGACGGUACCGGAAGAAUAAGCACCGGCUAACUACGUGCCAGCAGCCGCGGUAAUACGUAGGGUGCGAGCGUUAAUCGGAAUUACUGGGCGUAAAGCGUGCGCAGGCGGUUCGUUAAGACAGAUGUGAAAUCCCCGGGCUUAACCUGGGAACUGCAUUUGUGACUGGCGAGCUAGAGUAUGGCAGAGGGGGGUAGAAUUCCACGUGUAGCAGUGAAAUGCGUAGAGAUGUGGAGGAAUACCGAUGGCGAAGGCAGCCCCCUGGGCCAAUACUGACGCUCAUGCACGAAAGCGUGGGGAGCAAACAGGAUUAGAUACCCUGGUAGUCCACGCCCUAAACGAUGUCAACUAGUUGUUGGGUCCUUCAUUGUACUUAGUAACGUAGUACUACGUACGUGUAGUUAGUACCGCCGUCGGGAGGUACGGUCGCGAGAAUAAACUUAAAUAGAGUAGACGCGNGAGACGUGCCGACGGACGACGACGAGGGAGGUAGG